UGGAAAAAUUCUCCGGAGGAAUAAUACACACUGGAAUUCAUCAAUGGAAACGGUUAAACGCAAUUUGUUAGCAAACAUCAAAAUUAACAUUAAAAUUCUUUAAAGAUGUAUUUUUUCAUGUUACAAAACACCCGCUAAUUAUACCAUAUCCUCUAUGUGCGAAUUCAUUGAAUAUUUAAAUGAAUUUAAGAAAUAUUUAACGAAUGAUAAUUUCUAACGUGCGUAUUUUAUGUUAAUUAACGGAUAUACGUAACAUUGUUUCAUAGAAGACCUAAUAAUCGUGAGAAACUGUAAAAUGAGUCAAUCGGUUAAAAUCAGUGAACAGAUCCUACUGCGCAUGUCAUAAAAGUUACAAAACAUGUUUAUUUUGCCCUUGUUUAUAUAGAACAGUUAGUUUGUUUUUAAAUGUUACUGACGUCGAUAAUGAUAAACUCUUUUCAUUAGUGGUAUUACUGUGCGGACUUGACAUUUCUUUAGUCAUUGUAUCGCGAGUUGUUUCUCAUAUUCAUACGCACAGAGAAAAUUUUCAACGAAAGCGUAUCGCAAUGAAGUUCCUGGAUUCUAAUCUCGAGAUUGAAUUUGUUCAAGUGAAACUAGCGAAAAUACGAAGAAAAAUAUUUUUAUCGACUGCAGUCUGGAUACAUGGAGAAACCUUUCCGUCUAAUCUCGAUCACAAUGCUGUUGGACAGGAAAACUUACAGUCGGAUAAAUCCAAGAUAAAAUCCUUUAUUGGGAUUUAAAGCGAAAUUCUCUUACAGAUUAUCAGAUUUCCACAUUUCAUCCACGCGAGUCUGCACGUGAUUCACAAAUUUCCGAUUCCUGUUAAAGCACGCGACGAACGAUCGUAUUAUUACGGCAUCUGGAAGUACACCUCCAAUGACAAUUGAAUUAAGUCAUGAUCCACGAUCAUGAGUAAUAUCAAUUAAAGUAGAUCGUCGUGCAUGAUGUGCCAAUUUUGGGCAAGCAAAUUCAAAUGGUCUUGUAUUUGUUAGAUGUAUCGUCAUAAUUCUAAAACUUCUAUAAAAGGAAGUGAUUCCAUCAUAAAUAAAUGAAGUUCUUGUUUUUUGUAUAAUAU
This 1075-nucleotide unclassified non-coding RNA is filed under the name Bombus terrestris (buff-tailed bumblebee). RNAcentral describes it as "misc RNA ENSBTSG00005037692.1". The record is from RNAcentral. Lineage: Eukaryota; Metazoa; Arthropoda; Insecta; Hymenoptera; Apidae.